UUUGCCCUACGGGGCGCAGCAGUGAGGGAUAUUGGUCAAUGGGGGAAACCCUGAACCAGCAACGCCGCGUGAGGGAAGACGGUUUUCGGAUUGUAAACCUCUGUCCUCUGUGAAGAUAAUGACGGUAGCAGAGGAGAAAGCUCCGGCUAACUACGUGCCAGCAGCAGCGGUAAUACGUAGGGAGCGAGCGUUGUCCGGAUUUACUGGGUGUAAAGGGUGCGUAGGCGGGUAAGCAAGUCAGAAGCGAAAUCCAUGGGCUUAA
RNAcentral lists this ribosomal RNA (262 nucleotides) under uncultured bacterium. RNAcentral describes it as "partial 16S ribosomal RNA". It matches the Rfam family "Bacterial small subunit ribosomal RNA", at positions 333 to 612 of the family's 1533-position model. The record is from RNAcentral.